UUAUUUAUUCUUUUUUUUCUUUUCUAAAUGCACAUAUGUGUAUGUUUCCGUUCGCUUCUAAUAAUUCAUUUAUCUCCCUUUCGUGCAGAUCGGGAGGAAGCAGACACACGCACACACACGCACACAAAGAAAUGCCGAGCCAUGCAAAUCGAGCGAGAGCACAAAUCAACUUCUGAUUACAUCGGCUCCAAUUUUUCCUCCCUUCGUGCAACACAGCAGAAGCACACAUUUUUAUUUUUUUUUUCAGCGCAAAUGAUGCUAUGUGAUGAGGAGGGAGGAAGGGGGCGGGGGGGGGGGGGGGGAAACCCUGCUCUGCCGAAGAACAGAAAUUCGAAGAAUUAAAACUGGGAGGAGAGAGAAACCGGGACUUUUCUUUCCCCUCCUCCCCCCCUCCUUUGAAGCUGAGAGGAGGGCUACUGCCCCGGGACACUGCAGGAGUUUAAAAAAAAAAAAAAAAUAGAAAAAAAAAUCUGAGAAAGAUCAAAAACCGGCUCCGCAAGUCCCAGCGGCGACCUCUCCCCCCGCCGCAUUCCCCAAAGCGCGCGGCGCAAACCCGGAGCGGAGCCGGGCGAGGCGGCGGGGGGGACCCGGGGGGGUCCCGGGUGGUGGCCCUGUCACCCCCGCUGCCUGUCCCUGUCCUGCUCCGGGACGGGAGGCAGAGCCCAGCUCCCUUCCUUCCUUCCCUCCCCAUUUCCCUGCUUCUUUUUCCCGCAGCGCAGCCCCGGCUUCAAGCUCAGCACGGCUGCCAGGACCCACCGUGCCCGCCUCUGCCUGCCCAGGUGGCCGGGGAUGCCGAGCCCCGGCUCCGCACCUGCGGCCCAUAAAUAAUGGGGAAAACAAGCAGGGCCGGCGGUUAUUAAUUAGCCGGUUUCAUUAAAAUCCGUCCCCCAGAGCCCUCUGCCUGCGCACGGACACGCGAAGCCCUCCCCGGGAGUCCUGCCGUGUGCUGGAGAAAAAAGGGGAAAAAAACGUCGGAUUUGCUCGCUGGAAAACUUGCCCGAGGUUUAGUGGUGCUGGUUUUUCCUACUGAAGGUCGGUGCCUUUGGCUUCCUUCCCCCCCCCCCGGCGGGGGGGUGUAGCCGGGGAGAGGCGGAGGAGCCCCCGAAGAGGAGCCUGGAGGGGAUGUCGUGGGGGAAAACGUGUCCGGAGGGGCCAGGCUGUUCUGGAGGGUGGGCAGAGCCUGCCCAGCAUCAGAGAGAAAGUGGGGAGGGGGAGAAAGUGGGGUGAGCCCCCCCUCAUAUUUAAUAUCACCCCCCCCCGCCACCGCUGGAGUGAAAAGUUACCGAAACGGGGUGAAAAAUAAUCACUUA
Cygnus olor (mute swan) is the source of this 1310-nucleotide long non-coding RNA. RefSeq lists it as uncharacterized. The record is from RefSeq and is a predicted model, not a curated record. Lineage: Eukaryota; Metazoa; Chordata; Aves; Anseriformes; Anatidae. The transcript has 3 exons.